UAUGAUGGCUCUUAGGAUAAGUUUUAUUAAAAAAAAUAUAAAAAAAGAAGAAAGCAGAAGAGACACCUCUUACGUAAGGCCUGGAAGGCUUGUCUCUUAGUGGCCACGUGUAGGACAACGAGAGGUGGCGUUGUUUUUGGCUUUCUCGGUUUCUUCUUUCUCUCGGUCGAAACCUCUCGUCCUCGACGGCGACGUCUGUCUUCGGCAUCCAAUCCCUCCCGCAGAUCUGCCUCGUUGAUCCUUCGAUGGAGAAUCUACAAGACGAGGGAGGUAUGAUGGAGGAAGAAGACGUCGACGGAACCGCGGAGUCUCUGGUGGAGUUCGAAUCUUGACAAGAACCAAAGCUUGAAUCGAAUCUUGUUGGAGAAGCCAUGGAAGUUGAAACCGAUCCUACGAAGGGACAAGAGUCGAUGCAAAUUAGAGACGAAGUGGACAGUAGCAGCCGCCACAGUCCUCAUGCUAAUUCUGGCUUCUUCUUGUUCUGAUCGCACAUUUGAUUUGUCAAGUCGGUUCGAUUCUCUCUACGACGGAUGGAUCAAAUAGGUUUUGUGAGAUGGAUGGAUCAAAUAGGUUUUGAUUUGUUCUGUGGAAAGAGACACAAGGGAGGUUCAUCUGGUCUGAACUGAAAAGAGUAGAAUUGAGUUAGCUUCUGUGAUGAAUUGGUUUGUAUUCUUGUGUAGUGUCUUUUCUUGUGUCACGGACUUGUCACAGAGGAAGAAGCUUUGUAGUCUUGUGUACUCAUGUGUAUUCACGGUUUCGUCACAGACGAGGAAGCUUUGUAGUCUUGUAUGCUUGUGUAGUCUACUACUUGUGUUGUCUAGUUACUGGCAUUGUUGUUGGAUU
Long non-coding RNA from Raphanus sativus (radish), 843 nucleotides. RefSeq lists it as uncharacterized. NCBI's taxonomy places the organism in Eukaryota, Viridiplantae, Streptophyta, Magnoliopsida, Brassicales, Brassicaceae. The record is from RefSeq and is a predicted model, not a curated record. The transcript is spliced from 2 exons.